AGUGAACGCUGGCGGUAGGCCUAACACAUGCAAGUCGGACGGCAGCACAGUAAGAGCUUGCUCUUACGGGUGGCGAGUGGCGGACGGGUGAGGAAUACAUCGGAAUCUACUUUUUCGUGGGGGAUAACGUAGGGAAACUUACACUAAUACCGCAUACGACCUACGGGUGAAAGCAGGGGAUCUUCGGACCUUGCGCGAUUGAAUGAGCCGAUGUCGGAUUAGCUAGUUGGCGGGGUAAAGGCCCACCAAGGCGACGAUCCGUAGCUGGUCUGAGAGGAUGAUCAGCCACACUGGAACUGAGACACGGUCCAGACUCCUACGGGAGGCAGCAGUGGGGAAUAUUGGACAAUGGGCGCAAGCCUGAUCCAGCCAUACCGCGUGGGUGAAGAAGGCCUUCGGGUUGUAAAGCCCUUUUGUUGGGAAAGAAAAGCAGCAGGUUAAUACCCCGCUGUUCUGACGGUACCCAAAGAAUAAGCACCGGCUAACUUCGUG
This 492-nucleotide ribosomal RNA is filed under the name uncultured bacterium. Its description in RNAcentral is "partial 16S ribosomal RNA". It matches the Rfam family "Bacterial small subunit ribosomal RNA", at positions 29 to 507 of the family's 1533-position model. The record is from RNAcentral.